CCCUUAGAUGUUCUGGGCUGCACGCGCGCUACACUGAUGCGCUCAACGAGUUUUAACCUUGCCUGGAAAGGUUGGGUAAUCUUUUUAAAACGCAUCGUGAUGGGGAUAGAUUAUUGCAAUUAUUAAUCUUCAACGAGGAAUUCCUAGUAAGCGCGAGUCAUCAGCUCGUGCUGAUUACGUCCCUGCCCUUUGUACACACCGCCUGUCGCUCCUACCGAUUGGGUGAUCCGGUGAAUAAUUCGGACUGCGGCAUUGACCGGUUCCCGAUCGUUGUUGCGGAAAGUUUAGUGAACCUUAUCACUUAGAGGAAUGAGAAGUCGUAACA
This 325-nucleotide ribosomal RNA is filed under the name uncultured eukaryote. RNAcentral's name for it is "partial 18S ribosomal RNA". It matches the Rfam family "Eukaryotic small subunit ribosomal RNA", at positions 1470 to 1796 of the family's 1831-position model. The record is from RNAcentral.